UCAAAUUCCAUAUAAAAUGGUGGGUUAACCUCGGAUUUUCGGUGGUGCAAGUGACCCUUACUGUCAUUUAGGUUCAGGUUCCCAAUAGUUGGUACUCUUAUAAGAUGGUGAAGGGUACCGUUUAGGCCUGGCUAAUCAGAACAACAACAGCGUUUCCAAUAGGAUUUAUUAAGACAACACAGAGCUAUACACAAGUUUAGACGUUUAGAAUCUGAAUUUAUAUUUUCGUUAGUCAGACACACAAACACUGCUUAUUCAACAACAACUACGAACAAUAUAUUUAAUCUUAUAAUUAAAUCUUAAAACCCUAAAGACUAAAACUAACACAAGCAGGUUAUAACUAAAUAUAAAAAACCCCCUCAGAUCCCCUGCCUCCGGCAUAGACCCAAGAAUGCUUGCGGCGUUUCCCCUUUGCACCGCCAGACUCAACCUCUGAGCAAAGAAGGAACCCGCUAUUUGGUCCCCCGAGAAGGCGUUCCGACACCUUUUUAAUAAAAUUUUUGGACAAGUUUAGAAAAAUAGUCUUUAUGUAUUAAUGUGGUCUAGUAACACUAAUGCCAUAGGACACGGCAAGGAAGUGAAGAAGUGGCAGCAUGGGCACACAUUGGGCAGACACAAUAACAUCUCUGACAAAGACCACUGCAGGCUAGCAUGCACCGGGCCCAGGAUUGAGUGGCGUGAAGAGCACUGGUAAAGAAUGGCCUCAUUCGUCAUGUCCCUCAGCCACAAGGAUACAACAAAGAAGAGAAUUAUUCUUCUAAAAUUUACUUCUGCAGCUCAUUAAUUUCCAUUUUCGACUCUGCUACUUUUUCAACCGGCCGCUUACAUUUUGGU
This is a long non-coding RNA of Leguminivora glycinivorella, 834 nucleotides long. RefSeq lists it as uncharacterized. NCBI's taxonomy places the organism in Eukaryota, Metazoa, Arthropoda, Insecta, Lepidoptera, Tortricidae. The record is from RefSeq and is a predicted model, not a curated record. The transcript is spliced from 2 exons.